GAUGAACGCUAGCGGGAGGCCUAACACAUGCAAGCCGAGCGGUAUUUGUCUUUCGGGACAAAGAGAGCGGCGUACGGGUGCGGAACACGUGUGCAACCUGCCUUUAUCAGGGGGAUAGCCUUUCGAAAGGAAGAUUAAUACCCCAUAAUAUUUAGAAUGGCAUCAUUUUAAAUUGAAAACUCCGGUGGAUAGAGAUGGGCACGCGCAAGAUUAGAUAGUUGGUGAGGUAACGGCUCACCAAGUCUGCGAUCUUUAGGGGGCCUGAGAGGGUGAUCCCCCACACUGGUACUGAGACACGGACCAGACUCCUACGGGAGGCAGCAGUGAGGAAUAUUGGACAAUGGGUGGAAGCCUGAUCCAGCCAUCCCGCGUGAAGGAUGACGGCCCUAUGGGUUGUAAACUUCUUUUGUAUAGGGAUAAACCUAGAUACGUGUAUCUAGCUGAAGGUACUAUACGAAUAAGCACCGGCUAACUCCGUGCCAGCCGCCGCCGUAA
This 495-nucleotide ribosomal RNA is filed under the name uncultured bacterium. Its description in RNAcentral is "partial 16S ribosomal RNA". It matches the Rfam family "Bacterial small subunit ribosomal RNA", at positions 28 to 523 of the family's 1533-position model. The record is from RNAcentral.